CGAUGGUUACCACGAUAGUUACCACGUAGUUACCACGAUAGUUACAAUAGUUACCACGUAGUUACAUUACCACAAUAGUUACGCUAGUUACCACGCAGUUACCACGAUAGUUACGACGUAGUCACCACAUUACCACGAUGCUUACCACGAUAGUUACCACGUAGUUACCACGAUAGUUACAAUAGUUACCACGUAGUUACAUUACCACAAUAGUUACGAUAGUUACCAUGUAGUUACCACAUUACCACGAUAGUUACCACGUAGUUACGAUUGUUAUCACGUAGUUACCUCGUAUUACCACAUAGUUACCACGUAGUUGCCACAUUACCAUGAUAGUUACGCUAGUUACCACGCAGUUACCACGAUAGUUACGACGUAGUCACCACAUUACCACGAUGGUUACCACGUAGUUACUACGGUAGUUACCAUGUAGUUACCACAUUACCACGAUAGUUACCACGCAGUUACCACGAUCGUUACCACGAUAGUUACCACGUAGUUACAUUACCACGAUAGUUACGAUAGUCACCACGUAGUUACCACAUAGUCACCAGUUACCACGUAGUUACCACAUUACCACGAUAUUACCACGAUAGUUACCACGAUAGUUACCAUGUAGUUACCACGAUAUUAUCAACGAUAGUUACCACGUAGUUACAUUACCACGAUAGUUACGAUAGUCACCACGUAGUUACCACGAUAGUUGCGACGUAGUUACCACGUAGUUACCACAUUACCACGAUAGUUACGAUAGUCACCACGUAGUUACCACG
Long non-coding RNA from Gasterosteus aculeatus aculeatus (three-spined stickleback), 773 nucleotides. The record is from Ensembl. NCBI's taxonomy places the organism in Eukaryota, Metazoa, Chordata, Actinopteri, Perciformes, Gasterosteidae.